GACGUACUUGUACUGAUUGAGAUUUUAACACGAAGUGAGUGGCGAACGGGUGAGUAACACGUGGGUAACCUGCCCAGAAGUAGGGGAUAACACCUGGAAACAGAUGCUAAUACCGUAUAACAGAGAAAACCGCAUGGUUUUCUUUUAAAAGAUGGCUCUGCUAUCACUUCUGGAUGGACCCGCGGCGUAUUAGCUAGUUGGUGAGGUAAAGGCUCACCAAGGCAGUGAUACGUAGCCGACCUGAGAGGGUAAUCGGCCACAUUGGGACUGAGACACGGCCCAGACUCCUACGGGAGGCAGCAGUAGGGAAUCUUCCACAAUGGACGCAAGUCUGAUGGAGCAACGCCGCGUGAGUGAAGAAGGGUUUCGGCUCGUAAAGCUCUGUUGUUAAAGAAGAACGUGGGUAAGAGUAACUGUUUACCCAGUGACGGUAUUUAACCAGAAAGCCACGGCUAACUACGUGCCAGCAGCCGCGGUAAUACGUAGGUGGCAAGCGUUAUCCGGAUUUAUUGGGCGUAAAGCGAGCGCAGGCGGUCUUUUAAGUCUAAUGUGAAAGCCUUCGGCUCAACCGAAGAAGUGCAUUGGAAACUGGGAGACUUGAGUGCAGAAGAGGACAGUGGAACUCCAUGUGUAGCGGUGAAAUGCGUAGAUAUAU
This 655-nucleotide ribosomal RNA is filed under the name Pediococcus pentosaceus. RNAcentral describes it as "bacterial SSU rRNA". It matches the Rfam family "Bacterial small subunit ribosomal RNA", at positions 61 to 699 of the family's 1533-position model. The record is from RNAcentral. Lineage: Bacteria; Bacillati; Bacillota; Bacilli; Lactobacillales; Lactobacillaceae.